UACAGAGGCCCCGAGCGUUAUCCGGAAUCAUUGGGCGUAAAGGGUGUGUAGGUGGCGUUAUUAGUCGUUUGUGAAAGCCCCGGGCUUAACCUGGGAGACGCGGGCGAAACGGUAAUGCUUGAGUGCGUGAGAGGUGAGCGGAACUCAUAGUGUAGGGGUGAAAUCCGUUGAUAUUAUGGGGAACACCAAAAGCGAAGGCAGCUCACUGGCACGACACUGACACUGAAACACGAAAGCGUGGGUAGCGAAUGGG
RNAcentral lists this ribosomal RNA (253 nucleotides) under uncultured prokaryote. Its description in RNAcentral is "partial 16S ribosomal RNA". It matches the Rfam family "Bacterial small subunit ribosomal RNA", at positions 524 to 776 of the family's 1533-position model. The record is from RNAcentral.